RNAcentral lists this ribosomal RNA (254 nucleotides) under uncultured bacterium. RNAcentral describes it as "partial 16S ribosomal RNA". It matches the Rfam family "Bacterial small subunit ribosomal RNA", at positions 524 to 776 of the family's 1533-position model. The record is from RNAcentral.
UACAGAGGUCCCAAGCGUUUGUUCGGAUUCAUUGGGCGUAAAGGGUGUGUAGGUGGCGCCGUAAGUCGGGUGUGAAAUCCCCGGGCUCAACCCGGGAACUGCGUCCGAUACUGGAAGGCUUGAAUCCGGGAGAGGGAUGCGGAAUUCCAGGUGUAGCGGUGAAAUGCGUAGAUAUCUGGAGGAACACCGGUGGCGAAGGCGGCAUCCUGGACCGGCAUUGACGCUGAGGCGCGAAAGCCAGGGGAGCAAACGGG